Nematostella vectensis (starlet sea anemone) is the source of this 1189-nucleotide long non-coding RNA. RefSeq lists it as uncharacterized. The record is from RefSeq and is a predicted model, not a curated record. Lineage: Eukaryota; Metazoa; Cnidaria; Anthozoa; Actiniaria; Edwardsiidae. The transcript has 3 exons.
UUUCUUUCUCAUCUUGCAGUCAUGACGGAAAUAUGAGCCGAGACGCCCUGCGGCCGUUGAUAUUAUUUGCAGCGGUCAAAUACUCCAACCGUCGUUUCUUUGCGCCUUAGCUUCGGUUUUUACCAUCCCAGACAUGGUGGCAACCAAAAACCUCGCCAUCGUAGUAACCAGUCUUGCAUUAGUAUGGGGUCUAUACUCGGGCCAGCCCAGCCAGCCAUACCAGCCGUACUGUGACACCAAAUAUUACUACCAGAAGAUUGACAGAACAGGAUGUGACUCCACCUACGCUGGAACGUACGUCUGUAUUGGCACCUGUCAAUCAUACGUCAUACCUUAUGAGUCAGCGCCUUUCUUCAGAAAGACUUGUUCCUGUUGUAAGCCGGCCAAUCCCAAAUGGAAAUGGAUCAAACUCGGAAACUGCGCGUCUGGUGUCAAUCCGUACGCUUGGAUCCAAACAGCGGGAGAUAAUGGCUGCGAUUGUCUACCAUGUUGAAGGGCAGGGGUCGAUAUGAAGGGGAGGGGUCGAUAUGAAGGGGAGGGGGUCUGAAGGAUCUUCUUUGUUUGAUAUAUUUUUUACAUUUUGAGGAAAAAGAAAAGCCUACUUUUUCGCAACAUUAGAAUUUGAGAUGUCUUGGACAUCCCCCCUUAGGGAGGAGCAUAUUUCUUCGACUCAUCGAGACUGCACCGUCCAAGCAAGGCGUGUCUUGUUUUAGAUGCCGGAGAAAGACAAAGCGGGGUGGAACAAAAAGCAAGGCAAAAAUAACCAAAUAAUGUACAAGGGGUACAUCAAGAUGAAGUCACAUUAAAAAUAUACACUUAUACCAAAUAAUUAUUUCACCACCAACUAAAUGGGAAAAAAAAAUCAAAUUGAUAUUUAUAAAUUUAAAUAGCUGUAUACAUUAUAAAUAUUGAUAAUAAAUAAAUUUAUAAAAAAUAUAAAUUUUAGAAGAGAACCUAUGCUAGUAGUCAGUCUCCCUAUAGGUUAACCAGUGCGUAAGAUGACUUUAAGUGAGAAGGUGCAAUAGUCUUAAUAAUCUUUCAAGAAGAAAGGGGAGAAUAAGUAGAAGAAUGUGAUUGAAAAGGAAUUUAAUUUUGUUUAUUUGAAGAUAUUUCUUUCGUAUAUAUCAACUAAGAAUACAGCAUAUAAGUCGUAUAUAUUUAAUAAAACUAUCCGUGUGUAACCAUGGUA